RNAcentral lists this small RNA (20 nucleotides) under Arabidopsis thaliana (thale cress). RNAcentral describes it as "ATSL251560". Lineage: Eukaryota; Viridiplantae; Streptophyta; Magnoliopsida; Brassicales; Brassicaceae. The record is from RNAcentral.
AAGAACAUAAACUAAAAAAA